This 706-nucleotide long non-coding RNA is filed under the name Carassius auratus (goldfish). RNAcentral describes it as "lncRNA (ENSCARG00000008546.1)". The record is from RNAcentral. Lineage: Eukaryota; Metazoa; Chordata; Actinopteri; Cypriniformes; Cyprinidae.
GGGGUGUGUGUCCAAGGGAAGAGACCAAUCUGUCUAGAUCUGUUCUUUAAGGCUCACACAUACACACAUUUUUCCAUCGCUCCCUGCUUCACUAACAUGAGAGGGUGUGGUGGUCUGUAGAAAAAACAACUUCCUGUCUGCAAUCCCCGCAUGGCAUCGUAACGGAUGGGUUUACAUCACCAAACCCAAUCUCACUCUCAGAGAACAUCAGGAAAUGCUUCUCUCCAGCACAACAUCAGAGAACGAGCUUAUUUUUUUGAAGGAAAACUGUGAUAAGCCCUAAACACCCUCUCUGUCUCUCUCUCUCUAAAACUCACUGCUUCUGAGGAAUAGAAGGGACAGACUUUAUCACCAACAGAUUAAAAAUAGAGAAGGGAGAUCGAGGAAAGGCAUCCAGCCUCCUUCAUCGAGCAUUGGUCGAACACAUGAUCAUCAGAAGCGAGGGGACCAAACUGGAAUCUAACAAUCGUGGUCCUGAUGCUGCGGAGCACACAAGUGUGAGAAUCCAUGACUUCAGGAGGAAUCGAUGGCUUUGUGUGGCUGAUGUCCUCAGAGACUCUGUUCCUCAUUUGCGCUGGGAAUCCCAACACAGUCGGCCAGGAACCCAAAUCAAGACGAUACAAAGGUAAAUGGGAUGCUACAGUUUUAUCAGUGAUUUGAGUCUGUAGAACAUUUGACUGAAAAAAAAAAAAUAUAUAAUAUGUAU